GAGUGAAGAAGGCCUUCGGGUUGUAAAGCUCUUUCGGCCGGAAGAAAUCGUGUUCUCUAACAUAGGACAUGGAUGACGGUACCGGACUAAGAAGCACCGGCUAACUACGUGCCAGCAGCCGCGGUAAUACGUAGGGUGCGAGCGUUAAUCGGAAUUACUGGGCGUAAAGCGUGCGCAGGCGGUUUUGUAAGACAGAUGUGAAAAUCCCCCGGGCUUAACCUGGGAACUGCGUUGUGACUGCAAGGCUAGAGUACGGCAGAGGGGGGUGGAAUUCCUGGUGUAGCAGUGAAAUGCGUAGAUAUCAGGAGGAACACCGAUGGCGAAGGCAGCCCCCUGGGCCUGUACUGACGCUCAUGCACGAAAGCGUGGGGAGCAAACAGGAUUAGAUACCCUGGUAGUCCACGCCCUAAACGAUGUCGACUAGUCGUUCGGAGCAGCAAUGCACUGAGUGACGCAGCUAACGCGUGAAGUCGACCGCCUGGGGAGUACGGCCGCAAGGUUAAAACUCAAAGGAAUUGACGGG
Molecule: ribosomal RNA, 523 nt
Filed under: uncultured bacterium
Lineage: Bacteria
Description: bacterial SSU rRNA
Rfam family: Bacterial small subunit ribosomal RNA
Source: RNAcentral